Molecule: ribosomal RNA, 1343 nt
Filed under: uncultured bacterium
Lineage: Bacteria
Description: 16S ribosomal RNA
Rfam family: Bacterial small subunit ribosomal RNA
Source: RNAcentral
GACGAACGCUGGCGGCGUGCUUAACACAUGCAAGUCGAACGGAAAGGCCCUGCUUUUGUGGGGUGCUCGAGUGGCGAACGGGUGAGUAACACGUGAGUAACCUGCCCUUGACUUUGGGAUAACUUCAGGAAACUGGGGCUAAUACCGGAUAGGAGCUCCUGCUGCAUGGCGGGGGUUGGAAAGUUUCGGCGGUUGGGGAUGGACUCGCGGCUUAUCAGCUUGUUGGUGGGGUAGUGGCUUACCAAGGCUUUGACGGGUAGCCGGCCUGAGAGGGUGACCGGCCACAUUGGGACUGAGAUACGGCCCAGACUCCUACGGGAGGCAGCAGUGGGGAAUAUUGCACAAUGGGCGGAAGCCUGAUGCAGCAACGCCGCGUGCGGGAUGACGGCCUUCGGGUUGUAAACCGCUUUCGCCUGUGACGAAGCGUGAGUGACGGUAAUGGGUAAAGAAGCACCGGCUAACUACGUGCCAGCAGCCGCGGUGAUACGUAGGGUGCGAGCGUUGUCCGGAUUUAUUGGGCGUAAAGGGCUCGUAGGUGGUUGAUCGCGUCGGAAGUGUAAUCUUGGGGCUUAACCCUGAGCGUGCUUUCGAUACGGGUUGACUUGAGGAAGGUAGGGGAGAAUGGAAUUCCUGGUGGAGCGGUGGAAUGCGCAGAUAUCAGGAGGAACACCAGUGGCGAAGGCGGUUCUCUGGGCCUUUCCUGACGCUGAGGAGCGAAAGCGUGGGGAGCGAACAGGCUUAGAUACCCUGGUAGUCCACGCUGUAAACGGUGGGUACUAGGUGUGGGGUCCAUUCCACGGGUUCCGUGCCGUAGCUAACGCUUUAAGUACCCCGCCUGGGGAGUACGGCCGCAAGGCUAAAACUCAAAGGAAUUGACGGGGCCCCGCACAAGCGGCGGAGCAUGCGGAUUAAUUCGAUGCAACGCGUAGAACCUUACCUGGGUUUGACAUGGAUCGGGAGUGCUCAGAGAUGGGUGUGCCUCUUUUGGGGUCGGUUCACAGGUGGUGCAUGGCUGUCGUCAGCUCGUGUCGUGAGACGUUGGGUUAAGUCCCGCAACGGGCGCAACCCUUGUUCACUGUUGCCAGCACGUUAUGGUGGGGACUCAGUGGAGACCGCCGGGGUCAACUCGGAGGAAGGUGGGGAUGACGUCAAGUCAUCAUGCCCCUUAUGUCCAGGGCUUCACGCAUGCUACAAUGGCUGGUACAGAGAGUGGCGAGCCUGUGAGGGUGAGCGAAUCUCGGAAAGCCGGUCUCAGUUCGGAUUGGGGUCUGCAACUCGACCUCAUGAAGUCGGAGUCGCUAGUAAUCGCAGAUCAGCAACGCUGCGGUGAAUACGUUCCCGGG